CUCAGUCUCAUCAACCUGCACGACUGCUUCUUUAUCAGCCUGUACAUGGACGACCUCUCCUCCGGUACGAUCCCAAAGUCAUCACUGUACUCCUGCAUGCCUGCCGCCAUGAACUGCCACACCAGAGCACCUGCACCAGCUCCCCCCCUCCUCGCAGAUUCGUAGACGACGUCGAAGAUGGACUCGUAGAAGACGUCGCGGUGGGCGUGAUCGAAGUCCCUGCUCUUAUCUGACAGGCCAAACUCCGUGAACAGCACAGGUUUCUUGAGCUCCUCCUCGCCAUCCUCGAUGUGUGAGGUCAGCCACCCGGAGAUGUACUUCAUCUUCUCUUCGAGCCCUGCACCGACUUGCCUGCACAACCACAAGACGACUCGUUUGCUUUGCCUUGAGAGCGUUGCUCGAAGCAUUAACGGGUGUUUGAUGCUUACCACUGAUCAGGGUAGAUGUGGACGGAGGCGAAGUCUAUGUCUGAGACUUUGGAGUUUCUGAUGAAGUCGGAGCCAAGCGUGCCGAACCAUUGUCCGGGAUUCACCUUUAGCUUCUCUGGUGAGCUUGCAGGGCCGUAGAAUCCCUCCAGUCCUACUGUUAGGAGAUGGUUUUUGUCGAUCGAUUUCACGUACGCUGCCAAUUCUUCGAUCCAGUCCUGAACAAUUUAAAGAUUGCAAUUACUGAAAUCUCGAGUUAUUUUAUGAUGCUGACUGUAGUUUCGAUGGAAAUCAAAAUUCUUUGAUUCUGAAUUUUCGAUGUGUUUUUCCAUAGAACGUGAAGAACAGACUCACUUGGAGGGUGUCACCAGAUGGAUCAGACAUGCAUCGGGGUUCGUUCAUGAGUUCCCA
RNAcentral lists this long non-coding RNA (836 nucleotides) under Musa acuminata (dwarf banana). RNAcentral describes it as "long non-coding RNA (MACU_LNC000094)". The record is from RNAcentral. Lineage: Eukaryota; Viridiplantae; Streptophyta; Magnoliopsida; Zingiberales; Musaceae.